This 609-nucleotide ribosomal RNA is filed under the name Triticum aestivum (bread wheat). Its description in RNAcentral is "partial small subunit ribosomal RNA". Lineage: Eukaryota; Viridiplantae; Streptophyta; Magnoliopsida; Poales; Poaceae. The record is from RNAcentral.
AUGGCAAACUGUAAGAAGUGGCUUCUGCUCGUUGUGGGCCUCACGGCCAUGAUUUCCUCGUCGGAGGCGUACGUCUUCUACGCCGGCGGCCGCGACGGCUGGGUCGUCGACCCCGCCGAGAGCUACAACCACUGGGCCGAGCGCAACCGGUUUCAGAUCAACGACACCAUCGUGUUUGCGCGCGGCGAGGGCGAGGGCGCGGACUCGGUGCUGCUGGUGACCGAGCCGGACUUCGACGCGUGCAACACGCGUAGCCCUGUCCGCCGGCUAGAGGACGCCGGUGGUCGCCCGGAGUUCCGGUUCGACCGGUCGGGUGCCUUCUUCUUCAUCAGCGGCGACGAGGACCGGUGCCAGAAGGGCAAGAAGUUGUACGUCGUCGUGAUGGCGCCUCGGUCCCAGGAGUGGGAGCUCGCACCGGCGCCCGGAUCGCCGCCGCUCUGGGCCUCGGCACCAGAGCACGCGGAGGCCCCGGACAUGAGCCCUGGCAACGAGGGGAUGUCGCGCAGCUCGCUGCAGGCGCCACCACCGACGGCGAGCGCGGCACGGUUGGACUUGGACGUGAUAGCCGUCGGCGUAGUCGUGGGGGUUUUAGGGGCUCUGGUGCUCUGA